RNAcentral lists this ribosomal RNA (550 nucleotides) under Lysinibacillus xylanilyticus. RNAcentral's name for it is "bacterial SSU rRNA". It matches the Rfam family "Bacterial small subunit ribosomal RNA", at positions 288 to 830 of the family's 1533-position model. The record is from RNAcentral. Lineage: Bacteria; Bacillati; Bacillota; Bacilli; Caryophanales; Bacillaceae.
CGACCUGAGAGGGUGAUCGGCCACACUGGGACUGAGACACGGCCCAGACUCCUACGGGAGGCAGCAGUAGGGAAUCUUCCACAAUGGGCGAAAGCCUGAUGGAGCAACGCCGCGUGAGUGAAGAAGGUUUUCGGAUCGUAAAACUCUGUUGUAAGGGAAGAACAAGUACAGUAGUAACUGGCUGUACCUUGACGGUACCUUAUUAGAAAACCACGGCUAUCUACGUGCCACCAGCCGCGGUAAUACGUAGGUGGCAAGCGUUGUCCGGAAUUAUUGGGCGUAAAGCGCGCGCAGGCGGUCCUUUAAGUCUGAUGUGAAAGCCCACGGCUCAACCGUGGAGGGUCAUUGGAAACUGGGGGACUUGAGUGCAGAAGAGGAAAGUGGAAUUCCAAGUGUAGCGGUGAAAUGCGUAGAGAUUUGGAGGAACACCAGUGGCGAAGGCGACUUUCUGGUCUGUAACUGACGCUGAGGCGCGAAAGCGUGGGGAGCAAACAGGAUUAGAUAYCCUGGUAGUCCACGCCGUAAACGAUGAGUGCUAAGUGUUAGGGGG